This 1517-nucleotide ribosomal RNA is filed under the name uncultured bacterium. RNAcentral describes it as "bacterial SSU rRNA". It matches the Rfam family "Bacterial small subunit ribosomal RNA". The record is from RNAcentral.
CACGGAUCCAGAGUUUGAUCAUGGCUCAGGAUGAACGCUGGCGGCGUGCUUAACACAUGCAAGUCGAGCGAAGCACUUAAGUGAAUUCUUUCGGGAUGAAGCUUAUUUGACUGAGCGGCGGACGGGUGAGUAACGCGUGGGUAACCUGCCUCAUACAGGGGAAUAACAGUUAGAAAUGACUGCUAAUGCCGCAUAAGCGCACACUACCGCAUGGUAGAGUGUGAAAAACUCCGGUGGUAUGAGAUGGACCCGCGUCUGAUUAGCUAGUUGGUGAGGUAACGGCCCACCAAGGCGACGAUCAGUAGCCGACCUGAGAGGGUGACCGGCCACAUUGGGACUGAGACACGGCCCAAACUCCUACGGGAGGCAGCAGUGGGGAAUAUUGCACAAUGGGGGAAACCCUGAUGCAGCGACGCCGCGUGGGUGAAGAAGUAUUUCGGUAUGUAAAGCCCUAUCAGCAGGGAAGAAAAUGACAGUACCUGACUAAGAAGCCCCGGCUAACUACGUGCCAGCAGCCGCGGUAAUACGUAGGGGGCAAGCGUUAUCCGGAUUUACUGGGUGUAAAGGGAGCGUAGGUGGCUUGGCAAGCCAGAAGUGAAAACCCGGGGCUUAACCCCGCGGAUUGCUUUUGGAACUGUUAGGCUUGAGUGCAGGAGGGGCAGGCGGAAUUCCUGGUGUAGCAGUGAAAUGCGUAGAUAUUAGGAGGAACACCAGUGGCGAAAGCGGCUUUCUGGACGACAACUGACGCUGAGGCGCGAAAGCCAGGGGAGCAAACGGGAUUAGAUACCCCGGUAGUCCUGGCCGUAAACGAUGGAUACUAGGUGUAGGAGGUAUCGACCCCUUCUGUGCCGGAGUUAACGCAAUAAGUAUCCCGCCUGGGGAGUACGGCCGCAAGGCUGAAACUCAAAGGAAUUGACGGGGGCCCGCACAAGCGGUGGAGUAUGUGGUUUAAUUCGACGCAACGCGAAGAACCUUACCAAGCCUUGACAUUGAUUGCUAUGGAUAGAGAUAUCCAGUUCCUCUUCGGAGGACAAGAAAACAGGUGGUGCACGGCUGUCGUCAGCUCGUGUCGUGAGAUGUUGGGUUAAGUCCCGCAACGAGCGCAACCCCUAUCUUCUGUUACCAGCGGUUCGGCCGGGGACUCAGGAGAGACUGCCGCAGACAAUGCGGAGGAAGGCGGGGAUGACGUCAAGUCAUCAUGCCCCUUAUGGCUUGGGCUACACACGUACUACAAUGGCUCUUAAUAGAGGGAAGCGAAGGAGCGAUCCGGAGCAAACCCCAAAAACAGAGUCCCAGUUCGGAUUGCAGGCUGCAACUCGCCUGCAUGAAGCAGGAAUCGCUAGUAAUCGCAGGUCAGCAUACUGCGGUGAAUACGUUCCCGGGCCUUGUACACACCGCCCGUCACACCACGAAAGUCAUUCACACCCGAAGCCGGUGAGGUAACCUUUUGGAGCCAGCCGUCGAAGGUGGGGGCGAUGAUUGGGGUGAAGUCGUAACAAGGUAGCCGUAAGCUUCAC